UAUUAUUUUUGAUGUUAAUUAUUUAACCUGAGUAGUAAUAGAUAUGGUCUUGAAACUUAAAGAAUUUGGCAGUAUUUUAUUCUGUUUAGAGGAACCUGUUCUUUUAUCGAUAAUCCUCGUUGGACCUUACUUAAUUUAUUGAUUUGUAUACCGCCGUUGUAUUGAAGAUCUUUAUAGUGUUUUUAAUUUUCUAGAUUUUAUUUAAAAUUAUUUCAGGUCAAGGUGCAAUUUAUGGUUGAGUAGAAAUGGGUUACAUUUAUAUUUAUUUUUGGAUUAUUAAAUGGAAUUUUAGUGUGAAAUUGGAUUUGAUUGUAAUUAUUAUUUUAGAUUGUAAUAAUGAUUUAGUUUCUAGAAUGUGUACACAUCGCCCGUCACUCUCGUUAUUUAUUCGAG
RNAcentral lists this ribosomal RNA (393 nucleotides) under Cryptocercus tianbaensis. RNAcentral's name for it is "partial 12S small subunit ribosomal RNA". Lineage: Eukaryota; Metazoa; Arthropoda; Insecta; Blattodea; Cryptocercidae. The record is from RNAcentral.